Molecule: ribosomal RNA, 497 nt
Filed under: uncultured bacterium
Lineage: Bacteria
Description: partial 16S ribosomal RNA
Rfam family: Bacterial small subunit ribosomal RNA
Source: RNAcentral
GAUGAACGCUGGCGGCGUGCCUAAUACAUGCAAGUCGAGCGAACAGACGAGGAGCUUGCUCCUUUGACGUUAGCGGCGGACGGGUGAGUAACACGUGGAUAACCUACCUAUAAGACUGGGAUAACUUCGGGAAACCGGAGCUAAUACCGGAUAACAUGUUGAACCGCAUGGUUCAACAGCGAAAGACGGUCUUGCUGUCACUUAUAGAUGGAUCCGCGCCGCAUUAGCUAGUUGGUAAGGUAACGGCUUACCAAGGCAACGAUGCGUAGCCGACCUGAGAGGGUGAUCGGCCACACUGGAACUGAGACACGGUCCAGACUCCUACGGGAGGCAGCAGUAGGGAAUCUUCCGCAAUGGGCGAAAGCCUGACGGAGCGACGCCGCGUGAGUGAAGAAGGUCUUCGGAUCGUAAAACUCUGUUAUUAGGGAAGAACAAAUGUGUAAGUAACUAUGCACGUCUUGACGGUACCUAAUCAGAAAGCCACGGCUAACUACGUG